AACGAACGCUGGCGGCAUGCCUAACACAUGCAAGUCGAACGCAACCUUCGGGUCUAGUGGCGCACGGGUGAGUAACGCGUGGGAACCUGCCCUUAGGUUCGGAAUAACUCCCCGAAAGGGGUGCUAAUACCGGAUAAUGUCUUCGGACCAAAGAUUUAUCGCCUUUGGAUGGGCCCGCGUUGGAUUAGCUAGUUGGUAGGGUAAAAGCCUACCAAGGCGACGAUCCAUAGCUGGUCUGAGAGGAUGAUCAGCCACACUGGGACUGAGACACGGCCCAGACUCCUACGGGAGGCAGCAGUGGGGAAUAUUGGACAAUGGGCGAAAGCCUGAUCCAGCAAUGCCGCGUGAGUGAUGAAGGCCUUAGGGUUGUAAAGCUCUUUUACCCGGGAUGAUAAUGACGGUACCGGGAGAAUAAGCUCCGGCUAACUCCGUG
RNAcentral lists this ribosomal RNA (433 nucleotides) under uncultured bacterium. RNAcentral's name for it is "partial 16S ribosomal RNA". It matches the Rfam family "Bacterial small subunit ribosomal RNA", at positions 29 to 507 of the family's 1533-position model. The record is from RNAcentral.